AGUGAACGUUGGCGGCGUGGAUUAGGCAUGCGAGUCGAGCGAGAACCGUAGCAAUACGGGGACAGCGGCGAAGGGGACAGUAAUAUGUAGGUACCUACUCUCGGGUCCGGGAUAGCUGCGGGAAACUGCAGGUAAUACCGGAUGACAUCUCCGGAUCAAAGGUGUGAUUCCGCCCGGGGAGGGGCCUGCACGCUCUUAGCUUGUUGGUGGGGUAACGGCCUACCAAGGCGACGAUGGGUAGCGGGUGUGAGAGCAUGACCCGCGUCAUUGGGACUGCGACACUGCCCAGACACCUACGGGUGGCUGCAGUCGAGAAUCUUCGGCAAUGGGGGCAACCCUGACCGAGCGACGCCGCGUGCGGGAUGAAGGCCUUCGGGUUGUAAACCGCUGUCGUAGAGGAGGAAAUGCAGGGGGGUUCUCCCCUCUGUUUGACCUAUUCUAGGAGGAAGGACGGGCUAAGUUCGUGCCAGCAGCCGCCGUAA
This 482-nucleotide ribosomal RNA is filed under the name uncultured bacterium. RNAcentral describes it as "partial 16S ribosomal RNA". It matches the Rfam family "Bacterial small subunit ribosomal RNA", at positions 28 to 523 of the family's 1533-position model. The record is from RNAcentral.